UGUUUUUUAAGAAAAUUUUAAAAAGUUGUUCGUUGGUGACCAGCGGAGGGAUCAUUACAGGGUCUAACGACUGCCCAAAACCAACCGUGCUCCUUUCCAUUUUUCUCUUGCUUCGGUGAUCGCCUGCUGGGGAGGCCACCGGCCGGGCGUCAUGCCUGGUGGUUGCCGAAGCAUACCACUAUAAAACUUUACUUUUGCCAACGUAUCUUCUGAAGAACUUUCUACAAAAGAACAAUCACAACUCACAACAAUGGAUCUCUUGGUCUCUGGCAUCGAUGAAGAACGCAGCGAAAUGCGAUAAAUAAUAUGAAUUGCAGAAUUCAGCGAAUCAUCGAGUUUUUUGAACGCCACAUUGCGCCCUCUGGUAUUCCCGGAGGGCACGUUCCGACCGAGCGUCGCGUCACCGCUCAGGCUCUGCCUGGUGAUGGGGCAUGCGGGCAACCGCAGCUCCCAAAUGCAGUGGCGGUUCCCAUCGGGUUCCCUUGCGCAGUAGAAGCAACUCGCUGUCGCCUCGGAGUCCCGCGUGGGCGGCCUGCCGUAAAACACCCAACGUUUUCCACUGGUUGACCUCGGGUCGGACGAGAUUACCCGCUGAACUUAAGCAUAUCAAUAAGCGGAGGAAAAGAAACCAACAGGGAUUGCCUCAGUAACGGCGAGUGAAGCGGCAACAGCCCAGAUUUGAAAUCUGGCCUUCGGGCCCGAGUUGUAAUCUGCAGAUGAGUCUUCCGGCAAAGCGCCGUCCAAGUGCCCUGGAACGGGCCGCCGGAGAGGGUGAGAGCCCCGUACCGACGUGCGCCGCGCCUCUAUGAAGCUCAUUCGAAGAGUCGAGUAGUUUGGAAAUGCUGCUCUAAUUGUGGGGGUAAAUCUCCCAUAAGGCUAAAAUAUCGGCCAGAGACCGAUAGCGCACAAGUAGCGUGAGCGAAAGAUGAAAAGAGCCUUGAACAAGGGCGUCAAAAAGCAUGUGAAAUUGUUGUGGGGGGAAGCGUUCGAUGCCAGACAUGGCGGCGGUUGGUUAUCCCGGCGUUCUUCGCCGGCGCACUUCUGCCGGUCGCCAGGGCCAGCAUCAGUUCGGAUCCGAUGCGCCCAGCUGCCACGCGGGAAACGUGGGCUCCUUACAGGAGGUGUUAUAGCCCGUUGGUAACCGUACUCGGACCGGAUCUGAGGAUCCGCGCUUCGUUUCGAUAACGGAAGCCUGGCCUAAGACCUUUUUAAACGGAAAAAA
Molecule: ribosomal RNA, 1222 nt
Filed under: Ascomycota sp. L504
Lineage: Eukaryota; Fungi; Ascomycota
Description: eukaryotic LSU rRNA
Rfam family: Eukaryotic large subunit ribosomal RNA (bases 565-1222)
Source: RNAcentral